CGGUUUCUCUCUCUCCUCAGACAGUCUCUCUCUCUCUUUCGCUCAGAGGGUUUUUGGCCGAAAAAACGUUGGCAUUUCUCUGGGGAAUUGGCGGGUGGACGGGUUCUUCCGAUUCUCUCUCACGGGGACUUGCUCUCUGGGGACGCCGGCAAGCUCUCACGAACUCUCUUGGGAGGAUCUCUCGCUCUCUCUCCUCAGAGGAUGCUCGAGGACGGUUUUUUCCUGUUUCACGGAGGCGGUUGUCGAAGGAGUUUUUUCCAGUAGCUUCUCGCUUACCCGCAGCCUGACCGGCGGCUUAAUCUCCGUCUCCGUCGCCCCGCUCUCCGUCGUUGCCACUGGGUGAUCACCAUAGAUAUAGCACGCAAUCAAGGAGGCUUGGGGAGGGGUUUUGUCUCUCUCUCCUCGAAGGAAACUCUCUCCGGGAGGACUCUCUCGAUCGAGUGUUCUCUCUCUUUACGGUUCGAUCGGCUAGGGUUUUUCCUCCAAUAGUGAGGGAUCGAAGAUUGGAGGCCAAAUCUUUGAGAUUGAUUGGGGUUUCUUCUCCUCUGGACUCUCUCUCUCUCUCUGAUUCUAUCUGGUUUGCUCAAAUCGCGUUGUCAUCGGCGAAGACGGUGGCAGUGGUGGCGACGACAACGACGCUUAACCGAUCUUCUCUUUGGAUCGGGCUCACCGGAUCGGUGAGCUCUCUUUCUCUCUCUUUUGAUCCGUUAGGGUUUUGGUCUCCGAUUUCUCAUUCGCCGUUUCUGACUCGAACGAUUUUUCUUUCGGCUCUCUCUUGCGCACCGGAUCUGACUCGCUGAAACGGCCGGUCGAAGAGCGUCAUCUCUAAGGCCAACUUUGGCUUGGUCUUAGUUCUCAUACGACAACUUCGGUGGCUUCUUUGAACUGAGGUUUAGGAUUAGAUGGGUAGACUGAAGUGGACGUGAUCCCUCGUGCUGGAAUCUCAAGACUAUAUGGGAGAAUCUUGACUCAAGACAUCAAGAUUACGUGGAAAGAUUCCCGAGUCUCAAGGAUUUCGGCGAGCUCAUAUUACCAAACAAGAAGACGAUGCCUUGAUCGAUGAGGAACGCUUGACCCAUGAUAACAAGCGUCUCCACACGAUCCCACCUAGUUCUUAGGUUUCAAAUUCAUAUUUCUUUUCUUGUAAAGGGAAUUCUUUUGUGUUUCCCUCAUUUCUAUCAAGGUUUCCCUGUAUUCAUUUUUCAUAUUCCUUGUAAAAUCGAACUACUUUGUAAGCUUCAAGAAAGCAAGAUUAUGUUUCUCUUGUAAUUGUUCGAUGAAAUGAAUAAAAUCCAUGAACAUUUUCAUGUAAUUUUUAGAAAAAGGGGCAUUCUGAUUAAA
Long non-coding RNA from Eucalyptus grandis, 1341 nucleotides. RefSeq lists it as uncharacterized. The transcript is spliced from 2 exons. Lineage: Eukaryota; Viridiplantae; Streptophyta; Magnoliopsida; Myrtales; Myrtaceae. The record is from RefSeq and is a predicted model, not a curated record.